Molecule: ribosomal RNA, 253 nt
Filed under: uncultured bacterium
Lineage: Bacteria
Description: partial 16S ribosomal RNA
Rfam family: Bacterial small subunit ribosomal RNA
Source: RNAcentral
UACGGAGGGGGCUAGCGUUGUUCGGAAUUACUGGGCGUAAAGCGCACGUAGGCGGACUGUUAAGUCGGGGGUGAAAUCCUGGGGCUCAACCUCGGAACUGCCUUUGAUACUGCAAAUCUCGAGUCCGGAAGAGGUGAGUGGAAUUCCUAGUGUAGAGGUGAAAUUCGUAGAUAUUAGGAAGAACACCAGUGGCGAAGGCGGCUCACUGGUCCGGUACUGACGCUGAGGUGCGAAAGCGUGGGGAGCAAACAGG